RNAcentral lists this ribosomal RNA (699 nucleotides) under uncultured Caulobacter sp. RNAcentral describes it as "bacterial SSU rRNA". It matches the Rfam family "Bacterial small subunit ribosomal RNA", at positions 94 to 828 of the family's 1533-position model. Lineage: Bacteria; Pseudomonadati; Pseudomonadota; Alphaproteobacteria; Caulobacterales; Caulobacteraceae. The record is from RNAcentral.
AGUGGCGGACGGGUGAGUAACACGUGGGAACGUGCCCUUUGGUUCGGAACAACUCAGGGAAACUUGAGCUAAUACCGGAUGUGCCCUUCGGGGGAAAGAUUUAUCGCCAUUGGAGCGGCCCGCGUCUGAUUAGCUAGUUGGUGAGGUAAAGGCUCACCAAGGCGACGAUCAGUAGCUGGUCUGAGAGGAUGAUCAGCCACAUUGGGGCUGAGACACGGCCCAAACUCCUACGGGAGGCAGCAGUGGGGAAUCUUGCGCAAUGGGCGAAAGCCUGACGCAGCCAUGCCGCGUGAAUGAUGAAGGUCUUAGGAUUGUAAAAUUCUUUCACCGGGGACGAUAAUGACGGUACCCGGAGAAGAAGCCCCGGCUAACUUCGUGCCAGCAGCCGCGGUAAUACGAAGGGGGCUAGCGUUGCUCGGAAUUACUGGGCGUAAAGGGAGCGUAGGCGGACUGUUUAGUCGGAGGUGAAAGCCCAGGGCUCAACCUUGGAAUUGCCUUUGAUACUGGCAGUCUUGAGUACGGAAGAGGUAUGUGGAACUCCGAGUGUAGAGGUGAAAUUCGUAGAUAUUCGGAAGAACACCAGUGGCGAAGGCGACAUACUGGUCCGUUACUGACGCUGAGGCUCGAAAGCGUGGGGAGCAAACAGGAUUAGAUACCCUGGUAGUCCACGCCGUAAACGAUGAGUGCUAGUUGUCGGCA